RNAcentral lists this ribosomal RNA (1372 nucleotides) under uncultured bacterium. Its description in RNAcentral is "bacterial SSU rRNA". It matches the Rfam family "Bacterial small subunit ribosomal RNA", at positions 28 to 1381 of the family's 1533-position model. The record is from RNAcentral.
GAUGAACGCUGGCGGCGUGCCUAAUACAUGCAAGUCGAGCGAACGGACGAGAAGCUUGCUUCUCUGAUGUUAGCGGCGGACGGGUGAGUAACACGUGGAUAACCUACCUAUAAGACUGGGAUAACUUCGGGAAACCGGAGCUAAUACCGGAUAAUAUUUUGAACCGCAUGGUUCAAAAGUGAAAGACGGUCUUGCUGUCACUUAUAGAUGGAUCCGCGCUGCAUUAGCUAGUUGGUAAGGUAACGGCUUACCAAGGCAACGAUGCAUAGCCGACCUGAGAGGGUGAUCGGCCACACUGGAACUGAGACACGGUCCAGACUCCUACGGGAGGCAGCAGUAGGGAAUCUUCCGCAAUGGGCGAAAGCCUGACGGAGCAACGCCGCGUGAGUGAUGAAGGUCUUCGGAUCGUAAAACUCUGUUAUUAGGGAAGAACAUAUGUGUAAGUAACUGUGCACAUCUUGACGGUACCUAAUCAGAAAGCCACGGCUAACUACGUGCCAGCAGCCGCGGUAAUACGUAGGUGGCAAGCGUUAUCCGGAAUUAUUGGGCGUAAAGCGCGCGUAGGCGGUUUUUUAAGUCUGAUGUGAAAGCCCACGGCUCAACCGUGGAGGGUCAUUGGAAACUGGAAAACUUGAGUGCAGAAGAGGAAAGUGGAAUUCCAUGUGUAGCGGUGAAAUGCGCAGAGAUAUGGAGGAACACCAGUGGCGAAGGCGACUUUCUGGUCUGUAACUGACGCUGAUGUGCGAAGGCGUGGGGAUCAAACAGGAUUAGAUACCCUGGUAGUCCACGCCGUAAACGAUGAGUGCUAAGUGUUAGGGGGUUUCCGCCCCUUAGUGCUGCAGCUAACGCAUUAAGCACUCCGCCUGGGGAGUACGACCGCAAGGUUGAAACUCAAAGGAAUUGACGGGGACCCGCACAAGCGGUGGAGCAUGUGGUUUAAUUCGAAGCAACGCGAAGAACCUUACCAAAUCUUGACAUCCUUUGACAACUCUAGAGAUAGAGCCUUCCCCUUCGGGGGACAAAGUGACAGGUGGUGCAUGGUUGUCGUCAGCUCGUGUCGUGAGAUGUUGGGUUAAGUCCCGCAACGAGCGCAACCCUUAAGCUUAGUUGCCAUCAUUAAGUUGGGCACUCUAAGUUGACUGCCGGUGACAAACCGGAGGAAGGUGGGGAUGACGUCAAAUCAUCAUGCCCCUUAUGAUUUGGGCUACACACGUGCUACAAUGGACAAUACAAAGGGCAGCGAAACCGCGAGGUCAAGCAAAUCCCAUAAAGUUGUUCUCAGUUCGGAUUGUAGUCUGCAACUCGACUACAUGAAGCUGGAAUCGCUAGUAAUCGUAGAUCAGCAUGCUACGGUGAAUACGUUCCCGGGUCU